RNAcentral lists this ribosomal RNA (687 nucleotides) under uncultured bacterium. Its description in RNAcentral is "partial 16S ribosomal RNA". The record is from RNAcentral.
UUCCCGUGGCAUGCUGAUCCCGCAUUACUAGCGAUUCCAGCUUCAUGAAGUCGAGUUGCAGACUUCAAUCUGAACUACGGACUGUUUUUUGAGUUUCGCUUCACCUCGCGGCUUCGCUUCCCUUUGUUCAGCCCAUUGUAGCACGUGUGUAGCCCAAGGCAUAAGGGCCAUGAGGACUUGACGUCAUCCCCACCUUCCUCCAGUUUGUCACUGGCAGUUCCACUAGAGUCCACAGCUUCACCUGUUUGUAACUAGCAGUAAGGGUUGCGCUCGUUGCGGGACUUAACCCAACAUCUCACAACACGAGCUGACGACAGCCAUGCAGCACCUGUUCAGCAGCCAUUGCUGGAAAGAGUAUCUCUACCCUCGUCUACUGUAUGUCAAGCCUUGGUAAGGUUUUUCGCGUAUCAUCGAAUUAAACCACAUGCUCCACCGCUUGUGCGGGCCCCCGUCAAUUCCUUUGAGUUUCACCCUUGCGGGCAUACUCCCCAGGCGGUACACUUAACGCGUUUGCUUCGGCACUAGAAAAUAACUCCUCUAACACCUAGUGUACAACGUUUACUGUGUGGACUACCAGGGUAUCUAAUCCUGUUUGAUCCCCACACUUUCGCAUUUCAGCGUCUGUCGCAGACCAGAGAUUCGCCUUCGCCACCGGUAUUCUUCCGCAUAUCUACAGAUUUCACCCCU